UUAAAUUGAAGAGUUUGAUCAUGGCUCAGAUUGAACGCUGGCUGCAGGCCUAACACAUGCAAGUCGAACGCUAACGG
Molecule: ribosomal RNA, 77 nt
Filed under: Escherichia coli
Lineage: Bacteria; Pseudomonadati; Pseudomonadota; Gammaproteobacteria; Enterobacterales; Enterobacteriaceae
Description: partial 16S ribosomal RNA
Rfam family: Bacterial small subunit ribosomal RNA
Source: RNAcentral